Molecule: ribosomal RNA, 845 nt
Filed under: uncultured bacterium
Lineage: Bacteria
Description: bacterial SSU rRNA
Rfam family: Bacterial small subunit ribosomal RNA
Source: RNAcentral
UGGCUCAGGAUGAACGCUGGCGGCGUGCUUAACACAUGCAAGUCGAACGAACCUUCGGGUUAGUGGCGGACGGGUGAGUAACGCGUGAGAAUCUGCCCUCAGGAGGGGGAUAACGGUUGGAAACGACCGCUAAUACCCCAUAUGCCUACUGGUGAAAUGAAUUUCGCCUGAGGAUGAGCUCGCGUCUGAUUAGCUAGUUGGUGAGGUAAUGGCUUACCAAGGCUUCGAUCAGUAGCUGGUCUGAGAGGAUGAUCAGCCACACUGGGACUGAGACACGGCCCAGACUCCUACGGGAGGCAGCAGUGGGGAAUUUUCCGCAAUGGGCAAAAGCCUGACGGAGCAACGCCGCGUGAGGGACGAAGGCCUCUGGGCUGUAAACCUCUUUUCUCAAGGAAGAAGAUAUGACGGUACUUGAGGAAUAAGCCACGGCUAAUUCCGUGCCAGCAGCCGCGGUAAUACGGGAGUGGCAAGCGUUAUCCGGAAUUAUUGGGCGUAAAGCGUCCGCAGGCGGCUUUUCAAGUCUGCUGUUAAAGCGUGGAGCUUAACUCCAUCAUGGCAGUGGAAACUGAAAGGCUUGAGUAUGGUAGGGGCAGAGGGAAUUCCCGGUGUAGCGGUGAAAUGCGUAGAUAUCGGGAAGAACACCAGUGGCGAAGGCGCUCUGCUGGGCCAUUACUGACGCUCAUGGACGAAAGCCAGGGGAGCGAAAGGGAUUAGAUACCCCUGUAGUCCUGGCCGUAAACGAUGAACACUAGGUGUCGGGGGAAUCGACCCCUUCGGUGUCGUAGCUAACGCGUUAAGUGUUCCGCCUGGGGAGUACGCACGCAAGUGUGAAACUCAAGGAAUUG